Molecule: long non-coding RNA, 720 nt
Organism: Syzygium oleosum
Lineage: Eukaryota; Viridiplantae; Streptophyta; Magnoliopsida; Myrtales; Myrtaceae
Exons: 2
Source: RefSeq, a predicted model, not a curated record
AUGGUUGAUCCAGAGGAAAUUUCCGCUGCUAAAAAACCCAGAAGAAAGGCAUUGGCAAUUGAAAAUGCCAAUUUUUUACUUCCACAGAUCUUAAUGAUAUUACUGCUUGUGCUGAAUGCUGUAAAUGAUUAUAAUCUGCAGUAACUGAAAACUGGUUAUUGUUCGUUGUAAAAGUUCUGUUAUUUGUCCUCAGAAAUCAUUGAUGUAAAAUGUAAAAUAUGAGCUUGCUUAAAAUUGCUUUGGAUCAUCUUAUGAGUGGACAACAUGGUAUUGAAUUAUGACUGGAGCUUUCUUUUGAUCUUUCAAAGAGGGCAAGCAAAGGGAAGCGGCAACUUAAAAUUGAUCUCGCACCAUAUCACCUCUAGGAGGACCUCGAGGCUUCUCAAAGGAAUCUCUCAGAUAAAACAACAAUUCAAUAAUUGGCAUUCCUUUUUCCAAAUCCUAUGUGGGAAAUAGACUUGCGGCUCUUCCUAGAUUUUUCUUAACGGCUUAGGUGCCUCGAAGCGAUCAAGUAAGUUCAGGUGAUCAGGUGGAAUGUCCGUUAUGGUGGCUCAAAUAAAUAAUCAUGCAACGUGAUGCUGUUCUUUCGAAUUGUCUUCUGGCAUUUUCUCCGCCCGGUUAAUCACCAAUGUUUUGUAUCUCCGUGUUAUUCCUAAAUGUUGUUUUAUUGAUUGUAAUCGUUUUAUUAUUGAUGAGAGAAACCAAAGUUGCUUUGGCUAA